UUGUGUAUGUACCCAAUCUAACACAAAUUCAACACUAUUUGAAGUUUAAUUUACUUCUACUUUAACAGUAAAUAAACUAGGUAGCAAGAUGUAAAUUAACUUCAAAUACUAAACAGUACACUAUUUGAAGUUUAAUUUACUUCUGCUUUAACAGUAAAUACUGUUUACACAUUGUAGUUUAAUUUACUUCUGAUUCAAGAAGGU
RNAcentral lists this long non-coding RNA (204 nucleotides) under Trifolium pratense (red clover). RNAcentral's name for it is "long non-coding RNA (TPRA_LNC002686)". The record is from RNAcentral. Lineage: Eukaryota; Viridiplantae; Streptophyta; Magnoliopsida; Fabales; Fabaceae.